GACGAACGCUGGCGGCGUGCUUAACACAUGCAAGUCGAGCGGUAAGGCCCUUUCGGGGGUACACGAGCGGCGAACGGGUGAGUAACACGUGGGUGACCUGCCCUCAGCUCUGGGAUAAGCCUGGGAAACCGGGUCUAAUACCGGAUAUGACUCCAUGACGCAUGUUGUGGGGUGGAAAGCCUUGUGCGGCUGAGGAUGGGCCCG
This 204-nucleotide ribosomal RNA is filed under the name uncultured bacterium. RNAcentral describes it as "partial 16S ribosomal RNA". It matches the Rfam family "Bacterial small subunit ribosomal RNA", at positions 28 to 233 of the family's 1533-position model. The record is from RNAcentral.